Molecule: long non-coding RNA, 212 nt
Filed under: Rosa chinensis
Lineage: Eukaryota; Viridiplantae; Streptophyta; Magnoliopsida; Rosales; Rosaceae
Description: sRNA RchiOBHm_Chr2g0089891
Source: RNAcentral
UUUUGGUAAAGAUUGGUUAACAAGUACCAGUUGCUAGCAUGGAUAGUAGUGGGAAACUAAACUGGGCCAAGCAUAAUGAAAUCCAAACUGUGAAUAUCAAAAGUGUGGGAUCACAUUUUGAGAUGGAGAAAGAUUACCAUUGGCCAAUUUGAAGCACAACACCCCAAUGGAAGGUUUGUUGUUGUUUGUGGAGAUGGAGAGUACAUAAUAUA